This 71-nucleotide transfer RNA is filed under the name Glonium stellatum. It matches the Rfam family "tRNA". Rfam says of the family: Transfer RNA (tRNA) molecules are approximately 80 nucleotides in length. The record is from Rfam by way of RNAcentral. Lineage: Eukaryota; Fungi; Ascomycota; Dothideomycetes; Gloniales; Gloniaceae.
AAGAGUAUAGUUUAAUGGUAAAAUAGGAAGCUUCAAACUUCAAAUUUCCAGUUCAAGUCUGGAUGCUCUUG